AUACGGAGGGUGCAAGCGUUAAUCGGAAUUACUGGGCGUAAAGCGCGCGUAGGCGGUAAGGACAGUCGGAUGUGAAAGCCCCGGGCUCAACCUGGGAACUGCAUUCGAUACUGCCUGACUAGAGUAUGGUAGAGGGAAGUGGAAUUUCCGGUGUAGCGGUGAAAUGCGUAGAUAUCGGAAGGAACACCAGUGGCGAAGGCGGCUUCCUGGACCAAUACUGACGCUGAGGUGCGAAAGCGUGGGGAGCAAACAGGAUUAGAAACCCUUGUAGUCC
This 274-nucleotide ribosomal RNA is filed under the name uncultured bacterium. RNAcentral's name for it is "partial 16S ribosomal RNA". It matches the Rfam family "Bacterial small subunit ribosomal RNA", at positions 523 to 796 of the family's 1533-position model. The record is from RNAcentral.